RNAcentral lists this small RNA (600 nucleotides) under Alternaria alternata. RNAcentral describes it as "eukaryotic LSU rRNA". The stretch from base 238 to 391 matches the Rfam family "5.8S ribosomal RNA". The record is from RNAcentral. Lineage: Eukaryota; Fungi; Ascomycota; Dothideomycetes; Pleosporales; Pleosporaceae.
UCUCUUGGUUCCCAUAGAGGAAGUAAAAGUCGUAACAAGGUCUCCGUAGGUGAACCUGCGGAGGGAUCAUUACACAAAUAUGAAGGCGGGCUGGAACCUCUCGGGGUUACAGCCUUGCUGAAUUAUUCACCCUUGUCUUUUGCGUACUUCUUGUUUCCUUGGUGGGUUCGCCCACCACUAGGACAAACAUAAACCUUUUGUAAUUGCAAUCAGCGUCAGUAACAAAUUAAUAAUUACAACUUUCAACAACGGAUCUCUUGGUUCUGGCAUCGAUGAAGAACGCAGCGAAAUGCGAUAAGUAGUGUGAAUUGCAGAAUUCAGUGAAUCAUCGAAUCUUUGAACGCACAUUGCGCCCUUUGGUAUUCCAAAGGGCAUGCCUGUUCGAGCGUCAUUUGUACCCUCAAGCUUUGCUUGGUGUUGGGCGUCUUGUCUCUAGCUUUGCUGGAGACUCGCCUUAAAGUAAUUGGCAGCCGGCCUACUGGUUUCGGAGCGCAGCACAAGUCGCACUCUCUAUCAGCAAAGGUCUAGCAUCCACUAAGCCUUUUUUUCAACUUUUGACCUCGGAUCAGGUAGGGAUACCCGCUGAACUUAAGCAUAUCA